Molecule: ribosomal RNA, 492 nt
Filed under: uncultured bacterium
Lineage: Bacteria
Description: partial 16S ribosomal RNA
Rfam family: Bacterial small subunit ribosomal RNA
Source: RNAcentral
AGUGAACGCUGGCGGUAGGCCUAACACAUGCAAGUCGAACGGCAGCACAGUAAGAGCUUGCUCUUACGGGUGGCGAGUGGCGGACGGGUGAGGAAUACAUCGGAAUCUACUUUUUAGUGGGGGAUAACGUAGGGAAACUUACGCUAAUACCGCAUACGACCUACGGGUGAAAGCAGGGGAUCUUCGGACCUUGCGCGAUUGAAUGAGCCGAUGUCGGAUUAGCUAGUUGGCGGGGUAAAGGCCCACCAAGGCGACGAUCCGUAGCUGGUCUGAGAGGAUGAUCAGCCACACUGGAACUGAGACACGGUCCAGACUCCUACGGGAGGCAGCAGUGGGGAAUAUUGGACAAUGGGCGCAAGCCUGAUCCAGCCAUACCGCGUGGGUGAAGAAGGCCUUCGGAUUGUAAAGCCCUUUUGGUGGGAAAGAAAAGCAGCAGGUUAAUACCCCGCUGUUCUGACGGUACCCAAAGAAUAAGCACCGGCUAACUUCGUG